UCCAGUUUAGGUCCUUGCCUCUCAUCUUCCAAUCAAUGUGCUACUGUGAAGAACCUGGAUUAGUCUUCUUGAUUACUACCCAAUAGAAGACAUUGGAAGGAAAUUUCUAACCAUCAAAGAAGCAAGAUUUUGAAACAGCUUUUUGAGGGGACAAGGAAAAAAACUAGUCACCUUUAAAAAAGACUCAUAAUUAGCCUAAAUAAAGGAGUAUUAAUCUUGCAAUAAAAGAAGACAAAAUG
This is a long non-coding RNA of Neopelma chrysocephalum (saffron-crested tyrant-manakin), 239 nucleotides long. RefSeq lists it as uncharacterized. The transcript has 2 exons. Lineage: Eukaryota; Metazoa; Chordata; Aves; Passeriformes; Pipridae. The record is from RefSeq and is a predicted model, not a curated record.